This 468-nucleotide ribosomal RNA is filed under the name uncultured bacterium. RNAcentral's name for it is "partial 16S ribosomal RNA". It matches the Rfam family "Bacterial small subunit ribosomal RNA", at positions 28 to 507 of the family's 1533-position model. The record is from RNAcentral.
GACGAACGCUGGCGGCGUGCUUAACACAUGCAAGUCGAACGGAAAGGCCCUGCUUUUGUGGGGUGCUCGAGUGGCGAACGGGUGAGUAACACGUGAGUAACCUGCCCUUGACUUUGGGAUAACUUCAGGAAACUGGGGCUAAUACCGGAUAGGAGCUCCUGCUGCAUGGUGGGGGUUGGAAAGUUUCGGCUGUUGGGGAUGGACUCGCGGCUUAUCAGCUUGUUGGUGGGGUAGUGGCUUACCAAGGCUUUGACGGGUAGCCGGCCUGAGAGGGUGACCGGCCACAAUGGGACUGAGAUACGGCCCAGACUCCUACGGGAGGCAGCAGUGGGGAAUAUUGCACAAUGGGCGGAAGCCUGAUGCAGCAACGCCGCGUGCGGGAUGACGGCCUUCGGGUUGUAAACCGCUUUCGCCUGUGACGAAGCGUGAGUGACGGUAAUGGGUAAAGAAGCACCGGCUAACUACGUG